RNAcentral lists this unclassified non-coding RNA (432 nucleotides) under soil metagenome. RNAcentral describes it as "partial contains 5.8S ribosomal RNA, internal transcribed spacer 2, and large subunit ribosomal RNA". The stretch from base 1 to 120 matches the Rfam family "5.8S ribosomal RNA", at positions 35 to 154 of the family's 154-position model. The record is from RNAcentral.
GAUGAAGAACGCAGUGAAAUGCGAUACGUAAUGUGAAUUGCAGAAUUCAGUGAAUCAUCGAAUCUUUGAACGCAUAUUGCGCUCUCUGGUAUUCCGGAGAGCAUGCUUGUUUGAGUAUCAGUAAACACCUCAACUUCCAUAUCUUUUUUGAAAUGGGAGUUGGACUUGAGUGAUCCCAACGCUUUUCCUCACCGAAAAGUGGCGGGUUACUUGAAAUGCAGGUGCAGCUGGACUUUUCUCUGAGCUAUAAGCAUAUCUAUUUAGUCUGCCUAAAAAACAGAUUAUUACCUUUGCUGCAGCUAACAUAAAGGAGAUUAGUUCUUGUGCUGACUGAUGCAGGAUUCACAAAAACGGCUUCGGCCGACUUUGUAAACUCGAUCUCAAAUCAAGUAAGACUACCCGCUGAACUUAAGCAUAUCAAUAAGCGGAGGA